UCUUCAUUCUCCACUUUAUCAGCUGCGCUCACUUCCUGUCUUCCUCCACGGCUGACUCCCAUCUAUCACUGGACAAAAAAUCAUUUACUGAGAAAAAGGGAACCAGAAGGAGCACAUACGCAGAUGAUUCCUGCUUAUUACUCAAUUUACAUACCCGAAGCAACUCCCUUCUUAAGUCUCACCCAGAGAUUUCGAGGUGUCCCUGGGGGGUCUCACUCCACUUCAGCCACAGCCCAGCCUCUCAAGGCUUUUCAGCUGGGGAUCGCCUUGCUCCUGCUCAAAGCUCAGGACUCCUCUCGAGGAAGGUUGUUCUUGCUGCUGCCGCCAGGCUCUCCUCGGACCCCACCGGGGCUGCUCUGAAGGCGCUGUUCCCAGGGGAUCCCUCGCAGAACUUGCGAGGCCAGAACAAAGCUCCGUCCAGGGCAGCGCCAGGCAGCGUCCACACAGCAGCGGGAGAAUGCCUCGUGCUGAGGCUCGCUUCCUGCAGCGUCAGCCUGUAUCUCUUCGGAAAUAGCAUCAGACUCUCCCUGCAGCCCCUCUCCUGGCCCGAUCCACGGGUUGGCACAGACACAGACCUCAUCCCUGCCUUGGCACAAGGGGAAGAAUGUAAAUUGGCUCCAAACAGAAAAAUCUGCCUCUUGGAAUCGAGUUCCUUGCCCGAAGAAGUUUUAAAGUGGGAUUAAGGUGGCCGGUGCUUAUGAGUGUGGUGGGCCCUGGUUGCACAUCUCCCUGGUUUUUUUGGGGUUUUUUUUUUUUGGUGGGAGCAUCACCCUUUUUGGAUUGUUCAAGAUGCACGCGGAAAUUCAAACAAUUAAGCAGUGAGACAUUUAAACAGUGUUGGAUUAAACCAUUACAAUUCAAACAACAUGGAGAUUCAGUCUUGCUCCGCAUCCCCCGCGCCCUUGCUCACAGAACUUUGAAGACUUUUCUCUACCGCCAUCUAGAAUUUAAGGGCCACUGAAAAGGAAGCAGCAGUCCUAAGCCCAGCUGCUGGCUUGAGCCCCAGCUCCUGCCACCUGCUAGCUGCAGCCGUGGACAUAAGAACCCAACCGGAAGGAGCAGCUGUCCGGUUUUGCUGUCCAGUGGGGAAGAUGCAGAGAAACGGACACCCGGAGAAGAAGAAAAGAAAGGAGAAAAACACUGAACCUCGGAAGAAACAAUCUGGUCUGAAUCUGUUGCGCAACGUAAAGGGUUUAACAUUGCCAGAAAACGGGUUGCUGAGGAUUUGAACCUGUCGCUACGGAAGCAAGGCCUGAUGAAAAGGACUGAACGUCUGCAGGAGCUUUUCCUACCUUUCCAAAGCAAAAGGAAGAAGGUGCACAGAUGGGGAGCAUUUUGGGCUCUGGCAGAUGAGGCAGGGGUGCAUGAGACGCUGGGUGCCUGAGGGCCCCCGGUGCUGGGCUCCGGAUGCAAAACCCCAGCCAGGCGCAGCUGACGCGGCCGCAGGAGCUACGGGUUCUGAUGGGCUUUUCUUAACCUCAGGAGCUUUGUGGACAGAAACAAGCCAGCAGAGGUUUCGGGCUAACGGACAAACGACUCCUUUCAUAUGCGGGGUCUAAAUGUGUGACCUGGAUUCGGGGUGCAAGUUCAGAAUGCCCUCCGGAGCCAGGCAGAAGCUGAAUGCCACUUGAAUCCUGCUCGUGUUGCCACAAGGGAACGGGA
Hyaena hyaena (striped hyena) is the source of this 1662-nucleotide long non-coding RNA. RefSeq lists it as uncharacterized. The record is from RefSeq and is a predicted model, not a curated record. The transcript is spliced from 5 exons. NCBI's taxonomy places the organism in Eukaryota, Metazoa, Chordata, Mammalia, Carnivora, Hyaenidae.